Molecule: long non-coding RNA, 269 nt
Organism: Alexandromys fortis (reed vole)
Lineage: Eukaryota; Metazoa; Chordata; Mammalia; Rodentia; Cricetidae
Exons: 3
Source: RefSeq, a predicted model, not a curated record
UACACAGUUCUUGUGCCUCUCGCAGCCAUCUGCAUCAUCCUGGUGCACCUGCUGAUCCGGUACCGACUGCACUUCCUGCCUGAGAGUGUGGCUGUUGUUUCUCUAGGUAUUCUCAUGGGAGCAGUUAUAAAAAUUAUAGAGUUUAAAAAGCUGGCAAAUUGGAAGGAAGAAGAAAUGUUUCGCCCCAACAUGUUUUUCCUUCUCUUGCUCCCACCCAUCAUAUUUGAGUCAGGAUAUUCACUGCAUAAGGUAAGGUUCACCUGGAGCUU